Molecule: ribosomal RNA, 253 nt
Filed under: uncultured bacterium
Lineage: Bacteria
Description: partial 16S ribosomal RNA
Rfam family: Bacterial small subunit ribosomal RNA
Source: RNAcentral
UACGUAGGGUGCGAGCGUUGUCCGGAAUUAUUGGGCGUAAAGAGCUUGUAGGCGGUUUGUCGCGUCUGCUGUGAAAUCUCAAGGCUCAACCUUGAGCUUGCAGUGGGUACGGGCAGACUAGAGUGUGGUAGGGGAGACUGGAAUUCCUGGUGUAGCGGUGAAAUGCGUAGAUAUCGUUUGGAACGCCAAUGGUGAAAACAGGUUGCUGGGAGUGUGCUGACGCUGAGACACGAAAGCCAGGGGAGCGAACGGG